AAUGGCGUUCACAAUAGGAAUAGGAAUGCAACAGCUAGUCAACGGUAUCGGCAUAUAAGUGCCGAGGUUACAUAAAAUGGCGUCCAUGAGCACGAUCGAACGGGAAAUCUAGUACCGAUGAGCAAGCGAGUAAUAUUUCAGCGUAUCUCUCGGAAAUUUCGUCGAGCCGUUUAUUCUCGGUGAAGUUGUACGAAAUGGUUUCCAUGAAUUAACCGGAAAUUCAGCUCUUGGUCAGCGACAUCGGUGGGUAAGCGAGUAAUAUUUCAAC
This is a long non-coding RNA of Harpegnathos saltator (Jerdon's jumping ant), 268 nucleotides long. RefSeq lists it as uncharacterized. The transcript has 3 exons. NCBI's taxonomy places the organism in Eukaryota, Metazoa, Arthropoda, Insecta, Hymenoptera, Formicidae. The record is from RefSeq and is a predicted model, not a curated record.